RNAcentral lists this small RNA (180 nucleotides) under Pseudomonas sp. THAF42. RNAcentral's name for it is "Pseudomonas sRNA P1". It matches the Rfam family "Pseudomonas sRNA P1". Rfam says of the family: There appears to be two related copies of P1 sRNA in the P.aeruginosa PA01 genome and both copies appear to be located upstream of predicted glutamine synthetase genes. This sRNA appears to be conserved amongst several Pseudomonas species. Lineage: Bacteria; Pseudomonadati; Pseudomonadota; Gammaproteobacteria; Pseudomonadales; Pseudomonadaceae. The record is from RNAcentral. RNAcentral also lists the same sequence under 1 other name.
ACACCCGUAUUAUUGCUGUUAUGGGUUUGAACCGAGCUUAGCCUUGUUCAUUUUUUUACACAAUAGCUCUGUAAAAAAUUGAACACACCCCACUGAGCACCUUGGUAGAUCGGCGUUUGGACCACCCAUAACGGCCCUGAAACGCCCCAAAAAUGGCCAUCACGCCCCACAAGAGGGCAU